RNAcentral lists this transfer RNA (85 nucleotides) under Scleropages formosus (Asian bonytongue). It matches the Rfam family "tRNA". Rfam says of the family: Transfer RNA (tRNA) molecules are approximately 80 nucleotides in length. Their secondary structure includes four short double-helical elements and three loops (D, anti-codon, and T loops). The record is from Rfam by way of RNAcentral. Lineage: Eukaryota; Metazoa; Chordata; Actinopteri; Osteoglossiformes; Osteoglossidae.
AGCAUGGUAGCACAGUGAGUAGUGCUGCUCUUUCACAGCACCUGUGUGGUACAAGAUGAUGUGGGUUCAAUCCCCACUCAGUCUG